GACGAACGCUGGCGGCGUGCUUAACACAUGCAAGUCGAACGGAAAGGCCCUGCUUUCGUGGGGUGCUCGAGUGGCGAACGGGUGAGUAACACGUGAGUAACCUGCCCUUGACUUUGGGAUAACUUCAGGAAACUGGGGCUAAUAUCGGAUAGGAGCUCCUGCUGCAUGGUGGGGGUUGGAAAGUUUCGGCGGUUGGGGAUGGACGCGCGGCUUAUCAGCUUGUUGGUGGGGUAGUGGCUUACCAAGGCUUUGACGGGUAGCCGGCCUGAGAGGGUGACCGGGCACAUGGGGACUGAGGUACGGCGCAGACGCCUACGGGAGGCAGCAGUGGGGAAUAUGGCACAGUGGGCGGAAGCCUGAGGCGGCAACGCCGGGUGCGGGAUGACGGCCUUCGGGUUGUAAACCGCUUUCGCCUGUGACGAAGCGGGAGUGACGGUAAUGGGUGAAGAAGCACCGGCUAACUACGUG
This 468-nucleotide ribosomal RNA is filed under the name uncultured bacterium. RNAcentral describes it as "partial 16S ribosomal RNA". It matches the Rfam family "Bacterial small subunit ribosomal RNA", at positions 28 to 507 of the family's 1533-position model. The record is from RNAcentral.